UAGGGAAUAUUAGAAAUGGACGAAAGUCUGAUCUAGCAACACCGCGUGUGCGAAGAAGGCCUUCGGGUUGUAAAGCACUUUUUGGAAGGAUUAGGAAGGAAUGUACUUCCAGAAUAAGUCUCGGCUAACUACGUGCCAGCAGCCGCGGUAACACGUAGUAGGCAAACGUUAUCCGGAUUUACUGGGCGUAAAGCUCGUGUAGGUGGUUCUGUAAGUAGGGCGUGAAAGCUCCUGGCUCAACUGGGAGAGGCCGUUCUAAACUGCAGAGCUAGAGGAUGGUAGAGGGAGGUGGAAUUCCGGGUGUAGCGGUGGAAUGCGCAGAUAUCCGGAGGAACACCAGUGGCGAAAGCGGCCUCCUGGACCAUUCCUGACACUCAGAUGCGAAGGCUAGGGUAGCAAACG
Molecule: ribosomal RNA, 402 nt
Filed under: uncultured prokaryote
Description: bacterial SSU rRNA
Rfam family: Bacterial small subunit ribosomal RNA
Source: RNAcentral